CUCGGACUGCACAAGAACGAACAUAAUGGCGUGUUUAUAUCAAACGUCGUAUUGUUCCUUUGUCACUUUAAAUCUAUCGAACUAUUUAACUUCACAAGUUUAUAGGCCGUGUCCGAGUUGAAGCCGGAGAAGAUGACGUAAGGCCACCAAAUGUAAGUGAACCUUGAAGGCCACGAUGACGACAAAGCACCUGCACUUCUGGACGGGAGCAGUCGUGAUGGCCCCCCCGUCCAGUUUGCCAAGUGAGGUCUUUGCUGGGAUGGUGUGAUCAGGACUUCCCUGUCCACUUCAGUGUGAUCCAAAGACUUGAAUGAAAUGCAGGUGUGUCCCGAGUCAGGGUCUGCAUCCUUCAAAGGGGAAAUUUGUAGACUGCUUACAUCACAGAUGUAGAUGUGGUGGUGCAGUUCUGCUAACUUCCACUGUUCUCUCCAUCUGGUGUUGACCCAGGUGGCCUUGGAAGUAUCGGCUGAGCAGCUCGUGGGCUUGCAUGACAAAGGGGCGUCUUGACUUUAGGCGCACGUGUCGUUCUGUUUCUGUGACGGUCUUAUGAAAGUAGAAUAACUUGUCAUGUUUGUUAAUAACUUGAUGACAUGCAUAUAUUGGUGUAUAAAUAAAAUGUAGGGUAACUUGUAAAUUGGUGUUAAACUAACAAGUAGAACAGUAGGUUAGUUUGCGAUUGAAUAAAUGACUGCUGGACGUGGAAAAGAAAGCCACUAAAGUAUGGAUGUGACCUCUGCUUAGAUGGAAGAUGUCAUCUGACAGAAAUAGUUAAUAAAGAAAACCUCUCACAAAGA
Long non-coding RNA from Nerophis lumbriciformis (worm pipefish), 794 nucleotides. RefSeq lists it as uncharacterized. The record is from RefSeq and is a predicted model, not a curated record. NCBI's taxonomy places the organism in Eukaryota, Metazoa, Chordata, Actinopteri, Syngnathiformes, Syngnathidae.